AACGAAGGCUGGCGGCGCGCCUAAUACAUGCAAGUCGAGCGAGAAGACGUAGCAAUACGUUUGUAAAGCGGCGAACGGGUGAGGAAUACAUGGGUAACCUACCCUCGAGUGGGGAAUAACUAGCCGAAAGGUUAGCUAAUACCGCGUACGCUCCUUGGACUUCGGUUCAGGGAGGAAAGCGAUACCGUGGGUAUCGCGCUCUUGGAUGGGCUCAUGUCCUAUCAGCUUGUUGGUGAGGUAACGGCUCACCAAGGCUUCGACGGGUAGCUGGUCUGAGAGGACAAUCAGCCACACUGGCACUGCGACACGGGCCAGACUCCUACGGGAGGCAGCAGUGGGGAAUCUUGCGCAAUGGGCGAAAGCCUGACGCAGCAACGCCGCGUGGGGGAGUGAAUGCCUUCGGGUU
RNAcentral lists this ribosomal RNA (406 nucleotides) under uncultured bacterium. Its description in RNAcentral is "bacterial SSU rRNA". It matches the Rfam family "Bacterial small subunit ribosomal RNA", at positions 29 to 424 of the family's 1533-position model. The record is from RNAcentral.